GAAGCUGACCAGACAGUCGCCGCUUCGUCGUCGUCCUCCUUCGGGGGGAGACGGGCGGAGGGGAGGAAAGUCCGGGCUCCAUAGGGCAAGGUGCAAGGUAACGCCUGGGGGGUGUCACAGCCCACGACCAGUGCAACAGAGAGCAAACCGCCGAUGGCCCGCGCAAGCGGGAUCAGGUAAGGGUGAAAGGGUGCGGUAAGAGCGCACCGCGCGGCUGGUAACAGUCCGCGGCACGGUAAACUCCACCCGGAGCAAGGCCAAAUAGGGGUUCAUAAGGUACGGCCCGUACUGAACCCGGGUAGGCUGCUUGAGCCAGUGAGCGAUUGCUGGCCUAGAUGAAUGACUGUCCACGACAGAACCCGGCUUAUCGGUCAGUUUCACCU
RNAcentral lists this RNase P RNA (383 nucleotides) under Klebsiella pneumoniae. RNAcentral's name for it is "RNase P RNA component class A". It matches the Rfam family "Bacterial RNase P class A". Rfam says of the family: Ribonuclease P (RNase P) is a ubiquitous endoribonuclease, found in archaea, bacteria and eukarya as well as chloroplasts and mitochondria. Its best characterised activity is the generation of mature 5'-ends of tRNAs by cleaving the 5'-leader elements of precursor-tRNAs. The record is from RNAcentral. Lineage: Bacteria; Pseudomonadati; Pseudomonadota; Gammaproteobacteria; Enterobacterales; Enterobacteriaceae.